AGUGAACGCUGGCGGUAGGCCUAACACAUGCAAGUCGAACGGCAGCACAGGAGAGCUUGCUCUCUGGGUGGCGAGUGGCGGACGGGUGAGGAAUACAUCGGAAUCUACUCUGUCGCGGGGGAUAACGUAGGGAAACUUACGCUAAUACCGCAUACGACCUACGGGUGAAAGCAGGGGACCUCCGGGCCUUGCGCGAUUGGAUGAGCCGAUGUCGGAUUAGCUAGUUGGCGGGGUAAAGACCCACCAAGGCGACGAUCCGUAGCUGGUCUGAGAGGAUGAUCAGCCACACUGGAACUGAGACACGGUCCAGACUCCUACGGGAGGCAGCAGUGGGGAAUAUUGGACAAUGGGCGCAAGCCUGAUCCAGCCAUACCGCGUGGGUGAAGAAGGCCUUCGGGUUGUAAAGCCCUUUUGUUGGGAAAGAAAUCCAGCUGGCUAAUACCCGGUUGGGAUGACGGUACCCAAAGAAUAAGCACCGGCUAACUUCGUGCCAGCAGCCGCAGUAA
This 506-nucleotide ribosomal RNA is filed under the name uncultured bacterium. Its description in RNAcentral is "partial 16S ribosomal RNA". It matches the Rfam family "Bacterial small subunit ribosomal RNA", at positions 29 to 523 of the family's 1533-position model. The record is from RNAcentral.